GGAAACUGCCUGAUGGAGGGGGAUAACUACUGGAAACGGUGGCUAAUACCGCAUAACGUCGCAAGACCAAAGAGGGGGACCUUCGGGCCUCUUGCCAUCAGAUGUGCCCAGAUGGGAUUAGCUUGUUGGUGAGGUAACGGCUCACCAAGGCGACGAUCCCUAGCUGGUCUGAGAGGAUGACCAGCCACACUGGAACUGAGACACGGUCCAGACUCCUACGGGAGGCAGCAGUGGGGAAUAUUGCACAAUGGGCGCAAGCCUGAUGCAGCCAUGCCGCGUGUAUGAAGAAGGCCUUCGGGUUGUAAAGUACUUUCAGCGGGGAGGAAGGUGUUGUGGUUAAUAACCGCAGCAAUUGACGUUACCCGCAGAAGAAGCACCGGCUAACUCCGUGCCAGCAGCCGCGGUAAUACGGAGGGUGCAAGCGUUAAUCGGAAUUACUGGGCGUAAAGCGCACGCAGGCGGUCUGUCAAGUCGGAUGUGAAAUCCCCGGGCUCAACCUGGGAACUGCAUUCGAAACUGGCAGGCUUGAGUCUUGUAGAGGGGGGUAGAAUUCCAGGUGUAGCGGUGAAAUGCGUAGAGAUCUGGAGGAAUACCGGUGGCGAAGGCGGCCCCCUGGACAAAGACUGACGCUCAGGUGCGAAAGCGUGGGGAGCAAACAGGAUUAGAUACCCUGGUAGUCCACGCCGUAAACGAUGUCUACUUGGAGGUUGUGCCCUUGAGGCGUGGCUUCCGGAGCUAACGCGUUAAGUAGACCGCCUGGGGAGUACGGCCGCAAGGUUAAAACUCAAAUGAAUUGACGGGGGCCCGCACAAGCGGUGGAGCAUGUGGUUUAAUUCGAUGCAACGCGAAGAACCUUACCUGGUCUUGACAUCCACGGAACUUUCCAGAGAUGGAUUGGUGCCUUCGGGAACCGUGAGACAGGUGCUGCAUGGCUGUCGUCAGCUCGUGUUGUGAAAUGUUGGGUUAAGUCCCGCAACGAGCGCAACCCUUAUCCUUUGUUGCCAGCGGUCCGGCCGGGAACUCAAAGGAGACUGCCAGUGAUAAACUGGAGGAAGGUGGGGAUGACGUCAAGUCAUCAUGGCCCUUACGACCAGGGCUACACACGUGCUACAAUGGCGCAUACAAAGAGAAGCGACCUCGCGAGAGCAAGCGGACCUCAUAAAGUGCGUCGUAGUCCGGAUUGGAGUCUGCAACUCGACUCCAUGAAGUCGGAAUCGCUAGUAAUCGUGGAUCAGAAUGCCACGGUGAAUACGUUCCCGGGCCUUGUACACACCGCCCGUCACACCAUGGGAGUGGGUUGCAAAAGAAGUAGGUAGCUUAACCUUCGGGAGGGCGCUUACCACUUUGUGAUUCAUGACUGGGGUGAAGUCGUAACAAGGUAACCGUAGGGGAACCUGCGGUUGGAUCACCUCCUUACCUGAAAGAAGC
RNAcentral lists this ribosomal RNA (1428 nucleotides) under Salmonella enterica subsp. enterica serovar Montevideo. Its description in RNAcentral is "bacterial SSU rRNA". It matches the Rfam family "Bacterial small subunit ribosomal RNA". The record is from RNAcentral. Lineage: Bacteria; Pseudomonadati; Pseudomonadota; Gammaproteobacteria; Enterobacterales; Enterobacteriaceae.